GGAUGAACGCUGGCGGCGUGCCUAAUACAUGCAAGUCGAGCGAACAGAUGAGGAGCUUGCUCCUCUGACGUUAGCGGCGGACGGGUGAGUAACACGUGGAUAACCUACCUAUAAGACUGGGAUAACUUCGGGAAACCGGAGCUAAUACCGGAUAAUAUAUUGAACCGCAUGGUUCAAUAGUGGAAGACGGUUUUGCUGUCACUUAUAGAUGGAUCCGCGCCGCAUUAGCUAGUUGGUAAGGUAACGGCUUACCAAGGCAACGAUGCGUAGCCGACCUGAGAGGGUGAUCGGCCACACUGGAACUGAGACACGGUCCAGACUCCUACGGGAGGCAGCAGUAGGGAAUCUUCCGCAAUGGGCGAAAGCCUGACGGAGCAACGCCGCGUGAGUGAUGAAGGUCUUCGGAUCGUAAAACUCUGUUAUUAGGGAAGAACAAAUGUGUAAGUAACUAUGCACGUCUUGACGGUACCUAAUCAGAAAGCCACGGCUAACUACGUG
RNAcentral lists this ribosomal RNA (498 nucleotides) under uncultured bacterium. RNAcentral describes it as "partial 16S ribosomal RNA". It matches the Rfam family "Bacterial small subunit ribosomal RNA", at positions 27 to 507 of the family's 1533-position model. The record is from RNAcentral.